RNAcentral lists this ribosomal RNA (419 nucleotides) under uncultured bacterium. Its description in RNAcentral is "bacterial SSU rRNA". It matches the Rfam family "Bacterial small subunit ribosomal RNA", at positions 1089 to 1501 of the family's 1533-position model. The record is from RNAcentral.
CAAACGAGCGGCAAACCCUUGGUCCUUAGUUUGCCAGCCUUAAAGUUGGGCACUCUAAGGAGACUUGCCGGUGACAAACCGGAGGAAGGUUGGGGACGAUCGUCAAGUCAUCAUGGCCCUUACGUGUAGGGCUACACACGUGCUACAAUGGCAUUUACAGAGGGAAGCGAGACAGUGAUGUGGAGCGGACCCCUUAAAGAAUGUCGUAGUCCGGAUUGGAGUCUGCAACUCGACUCCAUGAAGUCGGAAUCGCUAGUAAUCGCAGGUCAGAAUACUGCGGUGAAUACGUUCCCGGGCCUUGUACACACCGCCCGUCACACCAUGGGAGUGGGAUGCAAAAGAAGUAGUUAGUCUAACCUUCGGGAGGACGAUUACCACUUUGUGUUUCAUGACUGGGGUGAAGUCGUAACAAGGUAACC